GACGAACGCUGGCGGCGUGCUUAACACAUGCAAGUCGAACGGAAAGGCCCUGCUUUUGUGGGGUGCUCGAGUGGCGAACGGGUGAGUAACACGUGAGUAACCUGCCCUUGACUUUGGGAUAACUUCAGGAAACUGGGGCUAAUACCGGAUAGGAGCUCCUGCUGCAUGGUGGGGGUUGGAAAGUUUCGGCGGUUGGGGAUGGACUCGCGGCUUAUCAGCUUGUUGGUGGGGUAGGGGCUUACCAAGGCUUUGACGGGUAGCCGGCCUGUGAGGGUGACCGGCCACAUUGGGACUGAGAUACGGACCAGACUCCUACGGGAGGCAGCAGUGGGGAAUAUUGCACAAUGGGCGGAAGCCUGAUGCAGCAACGCCGCGUGCGGGAUGACGGCCUUCGGGUUGUAAACCGCUUUCGCCUGUGACGAAGCGUGAGUGACGGUAAUGGGUAAAGAAGCACCGGCUAACUACGUG
RNAcentral lists this ribosomal RNA (468 nucleotides) under uncultured bacterium. Its description in RNAcentral is "partial 16S ribosomal RNA". It matches the Rfam family "Bacterial small subunit ribosomal RNA", at positions 28 to 507 of the family's 1533-position model. The record is from RNAcentral.